RNAcentral lists this ribosomal RNA (466 nucleotides) under uncultured bacterium. Its description in RNAcentral is "partial 16S ribosomal RNA". It matches the Rfam family "Bacterial small subunit ribosomal RNA", at positions 28 to 505 of the family's 1533-position model. The record is from RNAcentral.
GACGAACGCUGGCGGCGUGCUUAACACAUGCCAGUCGAACGGAAAGGCCCUGCUUUUGUGGGGUGCUCGAGUGGCGAACGGGUGAGUAACACGUGAGUAACCUGCCCUUGACUUUGGGAUAACUUCAGGAAACUGGGGCUAAUACCGGAUAGGAGCUCCUGCUGCAUGGUGGGGGUUGGAAAGUUUCGGCGGUUGGGGAUGGACUCGCGGCUUAUCAGCUUGUUGGUGGGGUAGUGGCUUACCAAGGCUUUGACGGGUAGCCGGCCUGAGAGGGUGACCGGCCACAUUGGGACUGAGAUACGGCCCAGACUCCUACGGGAGGCAGCAGUGGGGAAUAUUGCACAAUGGGCGGAAGCCUGAUGCAGCAACGCCGCGUGCGGGAUGACGGCCUUCGGGUUGUAAACCGCUUUCGCCUGUGACGAAGCGUGAGUGACGGUAAUGGGUAAAGAAGCACCGGCUAACUACG